This 207-nucleotide ribosomal RNA is filed under the name uncultured bacterium. RNAcentral describes it as "partial 16S ribosomal RNA". It matches the Rfam family "Bacterial small subunit ribosomal RNA", at positions 568 to 774 of the family's 1533-position model. The record is from RNAcentral.
CGCGUAGGCUGCGGGGCAAGUCGGGUGUGAAAUCUCAGAGCUCAACUCUGAAACUGCACUCGAUACUGCUUUGCUUGAGGACUGGAGAGGAGAUUGGAAUUCACGGUGUAGCAGUGAAAUGCGUAGAUAUCGUGAGGAAGACCAGUGGCGAAGGCGGAUCUCUGGACAGUUCCUGACGCUGAGGCGCGAAGGCCAGGGGAGCAAACG